Non-coding RNA from Pelobates cultripes (western spadefoot toad), 201 nucleotides. The record is from the annotation of a GenBank genome assembly. Lineage: Eukaryota; Metazoa; Chordata; Amphibia; Anura; Pelobatidae.
AUGAACUCUAUAUUUAUAAACAUCUCCUGGGCAGAGUUUUAUGGGCUAUCCUCAGCAGUCAGCACACUAACAGAUUGAAAAUAUAACGGUGCUUCAAACUAUUGGCAAAGGUUACUGUUGAAUGCUGCAAUGCCUUCAUAGCAGACUUUGCUUUUUAUUUAAAUAUUUAUGUGGAAUGGUCACUUCUUUGAAAAGUACGCC